CACAGCUCUGCUCCUAACUCCUGCCCGCCCCGCCCGUCCAUCUGUCCCGCUGCCCCGCGGCCCAUCCAAGGGGCCACUCCACCUCGGACCCAAGUUAACCUCCAUCUGGUUUAUUUGGCCAUGCUAUGCUUUCUUCCCAUUCCCCUGCUGUCUAUUCUAAGCCCCCAGACUCAAGCCUCUAGACUCUUGGAUGAAAAAGUGAGAAGAAAACAUUUUCUGACUUACUCUUUUGGAAUCUCCUCCAUUAUUACCCAGGCUUUGCUUUAAGUUGCACUUUAAAUCACACUGUCCUAUUAAUGCGAUCUGGCAUCUUCUCCCACAAGCCCCCUACAGGGAACAACUACCCCCUACCUUAACUCUAAAUGGUUCUUUAGACUAUAGUCUGUCUCCUCUGACCUGAAAUCCUCUUUUAGGCCAUAGGCCAAGCUUUAGAAGCAGCCAGGUCUGGUGAGAAAUGGGCCCCCAUACCAACUGUGGACUUGGAAUAUCAGCAGAGUAGUAGGCACAGGUGUAUAAAGGGGAGAUUUCGGUAGGCGCAGGUGUAAAAAGGGGAGAUUUCAGAAGACAGGCAAAACAACUGAUGGGGGAAGAUACCUGGGGUGUGAAGAUGAGAAAGAAAUGAUGCUGAGGGACCUAGUGAAAUCAAUGAAACUCUUGAGUCUUGCUUAGGCUCGCAAACAAGAAGUGGGGAGGCUUGGGAAAUUAGGAUAUGACAUAUAUGAAAGGUUUAUCUAAGAAGAAAGAAACAGAGAUAAUAUAUAUAUAGAAAGAUGUAUAUAGAUGUAUAUAUGCCCAAAUAUAUUGAAUGUACAGAAAGGAAAUAUUCAGAGACUUUAGCAUUGGGGGCAGAUAUCUUGGCCUGGUUAUGGGGUAGGACACCCAGAUUUUCAGACUUACAAUCAGUGGUCCUGGUUUCAACAUGGAAGUGAGAUAGCUGAUGAAGGAUUUCAAGUCUGGAAAUGGGAAAGGGAGGGGUAGAAGUUCCUUUUCAGAAAUAAAGAGGCAUUCAUGAAGGCUUUUGUUGAAUCCUAUGCUACUGAUAGGACCAGGAAGAGAGGAACUCGGAGGACAAUAGGGAGGGGAAGUCUUGGAAAAUCUACCACUUACACUGUGUGCCCCCAUCCCCAGCAGCGUCCUGCCACUGUAGCGCCUUUUUAAAAUAAAUAAAAUAAAAUAAAAUAAAAUAAAAUAAAGCACCA
Molecule: small RNA, 1199 nt
Filed under: Pan troglodytes (chimpanzee)
Lineage: Eukaryota; Metazoa; Chordata; Mammalia; Primates; Hominidae
Description: processed transcript
Source: RNAcentral